AGCACGGGGAACAUGCUUUCCAGCACCAGUUUCACUAAAAAAGGUGUUGAAAGCAUCGUCACCUCCACCGAGAGUAGUAUCUCCAGGCAUUUGACCAUCGGGCUGAAUACCAUGCUCGAGGCAGUAGAGCUCCCAGCAGGCAUUGCCGACCUGGAUACCGGCCUGACCGAUGUGGAUUGAGAUGCACUCUCUCAUUUUGAGUUAGAGAAACAGGGGAAUGAAGAAGAGAUCUGAGAAGUAAAUGGAGAGGACAAAGAAAAUCUCGCGAGAGGAAGAAAGACGUUUGUGAAGACGCCUUCCCCUUUGAAACCCUUUUUUUUCUGAAGGAUAGACGGAAAGAGAAAGAGUGAAGAGACGUAUUUAUAGU
This 367-nucleotide unclassified non-coding RNA is filed under the name Hevea brasiliensis (rubber tree). Lineage: Eukaryota; Viridiplantae; Streptophyta; Magnoliopsida; Malpighiales; Euphorbiaceae. The record is from RNAcentral.